CCUACGGGUGGCAGCAGUGAGGAAUAUUGGUCAAUGGGCGCGAGCCUGAACCAGCCAAGUAGCGUGAAGGAUGACUGCCCUACGGGUUGUAAACUUCUUUUAUAGAGGAAUAAAGUGAGGCACGUGACCCUUCUUCUAUGUACUUUAUGUAUAAGGAUCGGCUAACUCCGUGCCAGCAGCCGCGGUAAUACGGAGGAUCCGAGCGUUAUCCGGAUUUAUUGGGUUUAAAGGGAGCGUAGAUGGGUGGUUAAGUCAGUUGUGAAAGUUUGAGGCUCAACCGUAAAAUUGCAAUUGAUACUGGCAGCCUUGAGUACAGUUGAGGUAGGCGGAAUUCGUGGUGUAGCGGUGAAAUGCUUAGAUAUCACGAAGAACUCCGAUUGCGAAGGCAGCUUACUAAUCUGCCACUGACAUUGAUGCUCGAAAGUGUGGGUAUCAAACAGGAUUAGAUACCCGUGUAGUC
This 460-nucleotide ribosomal RNA is filed under the name uncultured bacterium. Its description in RNAcentral is "partial 16S ribosomal RNA". It matches the Rfam family "Bacterial small subunit ribosomal RNA", at positions 338 to 795 of the family's 1533-position model. The record is from RNAcentral.